Girardinichthys multiradiatus is the source of this 942-nucleotide long non-coding RNA. RefSeq lists it as uncharacterized. Lineage: Eukaryota; Metazoa; Chordata; Actinopteri; Cyprinodontiformes; Goodeidae. The transcript is spliced from 5 exons. The record is from RefSeq and is a predicted model, not a curated record.
UCAGUCUUUAAAGGCCACCCUGGGUCUUUCUGGCCACAAGAUGGGUGGCGUGCCUGCCAGGAUCUCAUCAGUAUGCUAAAUGUGUUUUUAUUUGCAUCCAGGGUUUGGUUUUAUGGAAGUGAAAACCAAGGGUUGAACCCCUGGAUGGAAAAUAGAGUCAUGAUGCUGUCUAAGGAGGAACGUUUUCCACUCGUGAUCAUCAAAGUUUUACUUUUAAUAGCUGUAUUUUGCAAGGCAAGUCUCAAGUCUUUGAGGGGCAAGUAAAAGUCAAGUCUCAAGUAUUUGAAGGGCUGGACUCGGGCUACUUGGUGAACCUGGACCUCGGCCUCUGGCGGAUGCUGAAUGUGGACGUUCACCAAGGAUGGGUGGAGAGACACUUGGGACAGAGAUAUCCAGAUUUUACAUAAAACAGGUGUGACUGGCAGGUGCUGCUGCAUGGGUGUUGCUCAUCUGAGAGCAAUCAGCUGGGCUACUUAUGGAGUGGAAGCCCAGAGGGAGGCGUCAGCUCAUUUUGUUACUUGAUCACCCUUUGCUAAAGGAAGUCGUGGAACCUUUCUGGUCUCCGUUUUCACUCAUGUCAUGUUCAGAGGAGUUUGGGAAGUCCAGCUUCGACACCUCAGCCCUGAGCCUCCUCUCUGCUUCCAACUCCAAGCCCAGCUUCUCAGGAGCCACCUGAGAACCACCCAUCAACCUGCCUGUCCACCCUCCAACGUUAAAACUCUCCAACCAUAGUGGAGUUUCCUGGAAGAGAAGGAAACGAAGCACUUCAUCCUCCGAAAACUGUUCGCAGCCUGUCAGCCUCAAGCCACCAUGGAGAAGGACUUAUUUCCCGCCCGGUCUUGCCAAGAACCCAUCCCUUAGAAACCCCGCGUUUGUCCACCAGUUCCAGUCCUGGUUCCAGUCUGACCUUUAAGUGUGUUUCUCAAUAAACUGUUAAAAUGC